UACGUAGGGUGCAAGCGUUGUCCGGAAUUAUUGGGCGUAAAGAGCGUGUAGGCGGCCCGAUUAGUCCGCUGUGAAAGUCCAGGGCUCAACCCUGGAAUGCCGGUGGAUACUGUCGGGCUAGAGUCCGGAAGGGGCGAGUGGAAUUCCUGGUGUAGCGGUGAAAUGCGCAGAUAUCGGGAAGAACACGCGUGGCGAAGGCGGUUCUCUGGGACGGUACUGACGCUGAGACGCGAAAGCGUGGGGAGCGAACAGG
RNAcentral lists this ribosomal RNA (253 nucleotides) under uncultured bacterium. RNAcentral describes it as "partial 16S ribosomal RNA". It matches the Rfam family "Bacterial small subunit ribosomal RNA", at positions 524 to 776 of the family's 1533-position model. The record is from RNAcentral.